AAAAAAGGAAACCGUACUCUAUUUUACUACGGACUCCAACAAUCGACUCUUUAAUAAAUUUUCUGUAAUUGAAAAGAAACGUUCCUCACCAAAACCUACUGCUUCUUCUCCUCUUCUUUCCCUUUUCCAUUUAAUUGUUCCAUCUCAUUGUCUUUUUCCUGUUCGGAUGUUCUGAUUAUGUUUGCACACUUGAUUCUUUUGAUUUCAGGUAUAACGUGGCCUUUCUCUGUAAAAUUUGCUUUGGGGGAUUUCUUUAUUUCCAACUUUGUUUUUUCCCUUUGGGUUCUAACAAUUGCUCUCUACCAUCAAGCAUCUGUUCUCUCCUCAACAAUUAUGAGCAAAGCUAGUGGGUGUUUGGAUUGGCUUUUCAAAUCUGUCUACUUAGUUAAAUCGUUUUCGCGUUGAACUCCUCUUCCAAGUUUUGACAAUUUCUCUCUAUGAUCACGUCUCGAUUCUCUCCUCGACAAUUGUGAGCAAAGCUGAAUCUCACACACUUGUGCUUUCUGUUUUCAACAGGUCUUUGUAGAUUUGUUAAAUUAUUUUGGUGAAACGCUUUUAGUUAUGUGUUAUUAUCGGGUUGAAUAGUUCACUAUUUCCUUUUGGAUUCUAAUUAUUCAUAGUUUUGUAGUAGAGAUGUGGACGAGUGUAGAAUAAGGGCAAGAAAGGUCAUUAUUGAAACUUUUGAUGGUUCAUUUAUAUCGGAGCAUGUGCCAUGGAUUUGCUGCCAUUUCAUAAAGCUUGAUUGUAGAGGGCCUACAGCGACGUGACCAAGGACAAAACAAGGGCCUGUAACGGUACUCUAGAAACUCUAUUGGUUCAUUUAAACUUUAGGUCUUCAAUGAAAGACGUAAGAACUGCCGGACAAUGAAAUUUUGAUGUUCACAUAUUCACAAUCUGUGAGUUGGUUUAAUUUUCAUCUUAGAAUCAUUUUUUUAUAUUCUUCACUUGACGCAACGUUUAUAGAGUUUUUAUUAAGAAGCUUUUUGAGCUAGGAUUAUGAUCUUUGCUUUAUGUUAGAAUCUCAUAAUUCUACUAUUUAUACUUGCAUUCAUUGAAUAUAUAACUUAAAAUGAAAUCCUUAUUGCAGAUAUUGAUUCUUUCAGAAAUUUUCUAAAAGGUUUUUACUCUAAAGGUUUUUUUCCUUCACUUUCUUCCUUCUCUCUUUAGUAUUUUUGUUGAUUCUUUAUUUUAAUAGUUCCCUUCCAGAUUUUGAAUUUGUUUUUAGGAUGUGGAUAAUGGGAUCAAUCUCUUAUUCCUAAUACUUAUCCCUUUCAAAGUGUGAGGAAGAUAUCAGUGGAGUAUCGAUUAUGCAAAAUCAUUUGGCUCUUUGUUAUAUCUUCGUUGUUUUGCAACUUUCACCUUUGAUUGUGUUUUUCUUCUUGUGUGUUAGUACUAUAGCUAAU
Molecule: long non-coding RNA, 1403 nt
Organism: Lycium barbarum (goji berry)
Lineage: Eukaryota; Viridiplantae; Streptophyta; Magnoliopsida; Solanales; Solanaceae
Exons: 4
Source: RefSeq, a predicted model, not a curated record